CCUACGGGUGGCAGCAGUGGGGAAUAUUGGACAAUGGGGGAAACCCUGAUCCAGCGACGCCGCGUGAGUGAAGACGUAUUUCGGUACGUAAAGCUCUAUCAGCAGGAAAGAAAAUGACGGUACCUGACUAAGAAGCCCCGGCUAACUACGUGCCAGCAGCCGCGGGAAUCCGUAGGGGGCAGGCGUUAUCCGGAUGUACUGGGUGUAAAGGGGGCGUAGAGGGGAGUGCAAGUCUGGAGGGAAAUGUCGGGGGCCAACCCCGGAAGUGCUGUGGAAACUGUGAAGCUGGAGUGCAGGAGAGGUAAGCGGAAUGCGUGGUGUAGCGGUGAAAUGCGUAGAUAUCAGGAGGAACACCGGCGGCGAAGGCGGCAUACUGGACUGUAACUGACGUUGAGGCUCGAAGGCGUGGGGAGCAAACAGGAUUAGAUACCCGAGUAGUC
RNAcentral lists this ribosomal RNA (440 nucleotides) under uncultured bacterium. Its description in RNAcentral is "partial 16S ribosomal RNA". It matches the Rfam family "Bacterial small subunit ribosomal RNA", at positions 338 to 795 of the family's 1533-position model. The record is from RNAcentral.